This 396-nucleotide ribosomal RNA is filed under the name uncultured bacterium. RNAcentral describes it as "partial 16S ribosomal RNA". It matches the Rfam family "Bacterial small subunit ribosomal RNA", at positions 523 to 918 of the family's 1533-position model. The record is from RNAcentral.
AUACGUAGGUGGCAAGCGUUGUCCGGAUUUACUGGGUGUAAAGGGCGUGUAGGCGGAGAUGCAAGUCAGGAGUGAAAUCUAGGGGCUCAACCCCUAAACUGCUUUUGAAACUGUAUCCCUUGAGUAUCGGAGAGGCAGGCGGAAUUCCUAGUGUAGCGGUGAAAUGCGUAGAUAGUAGGAGGAACACCAGUGGCGAAGGCGGCCUGCUGGACGACAACUGACGCUGAGGCGCGAAAGCGUGGGGCGCAAACAGGAUUAGAUACCCUGGUAGUCCACGCUGUAAACGAUGAAUACUAGGUGUGGGGGGACUGACCCCCUCCGUGCCGCAGUUAACACAAUAAGUAUUCCACCUGGGGAGUACGAUCGCAAGAUUGAAACUCAAAUGAAUUGACGGGG